Molecule: ribosomal RNA, 305 nt
Filed under: uncultured bacterium
Lineage: Bacteria
Description: partial 16S ribosomal RNA
Rfam family: Bacterial small subunit ribosomal RNA
Source: RNAcentral
ACAGCAGUAGCCGCGGUAAUACGAGGGGGGCAAGCGUUGUUCGGAUUUAUUGGGCGUAAAGGGUGCGUAGGCGGUUUGGCAAGUCUUGUGUGAAAUCUUCGGGCUCAACCCGAAGCCUGCAUGAGAAACUACCGGGCUUGAGUAUUGGAGAGGUGAGUGGAAUUUCCGGUGUAGCGGUGAAAUGCGUAGAUAUCGGAAGGAACACCUGUGGCGAAAGCGGCUCACUGGACAAUAACUGACGCUGAUGCACGAAAGCCAGGGGAGCAAACAGGAUUAGAUACCCCAGUAGUCCCUGUCUCUUAUAC